Molecule: ribosomal RNA, 542 nt
Filed under: fungal sp. ARIZ L505
Lineage: Eukaryota; Fungi
Description: eukaryotic LSU rRNA
Rfam family: 5.8S ribosomal RNA (bases 176-329)
Source: RNAcentral
GUUGGUGAACCAGCGGAGGGAUCAUUACCGAGUUUACAACUCCCAAACCCCUGUGAACAUACCAAUUGUUGCCUCGGCGGAUCAGCCCGCUCCCGGUAAAACGGGACGGCCCGCCAGAGGACCCCUAAACUCUGUUUCUAUAUGUAACUUCUGAGUAAAACCAUAAAUAAAUCAAAACUUUCAACAACGGAUCUCUUGGUUCUGGCAUCGAUGAAGAACGCAGCAAAAUGCGAUAAGUAAUGUGAAUUGCAGAAUUCAGUGAAUCAUCGAAUCUUUGAACGCACAUUGCGCCCGCCAGUAUUCUGGCGGGCAUGCCUGUUCGAGCGUCAUUUCAACCCUCAAGCCCUCGGGUUUGGUGUUGGGGAUCGGCGAGCCCUUGCGGCAAGCCGGCCCCGAAAUCUAGUGGCGGUCUCGCUGCAGCUUCCAUUGCGUAGUAGUAAAACCCUCGCAACUGGUACGCGGCGCGGCCAAGCCGUUAAACCCCCAACUUCUGAAUGUUGACCUCGGAUCAGGUAGGAAUACCCGCUGAACUUAAGCAUAUC